This 320-nucleotide ribosomal RNA is filed under the name uncultured Actinomycetes bacterium. RNAcentral's name for it is "bacterial SSU rRNA". It matches the Rfam family "Bacterial small subunit ribosomal RNA", at positions 28 to 351 of the family's 1533-position model. Lineage: Bacteria; Bacillati; Actinomycetota; Actinomycetes. The record is from RNAcentral.
GACGAACGCUGGCGGCGUGCUUAACACAUGCAAGUCGAGCGGAAAGGCCACUUCGGUGGUACUCGAGCGGCGAACGGGUGAGUAACACGUGAGUAAUCUGCCCCUCACUUCGGGAUAGCUACCGGAAACGGUGAUUAAUACCGGAUAUGACGCGGCCUCGCAUGGGGUUGUGUGGAAAGUUUUUCGGUGGGGGAUGUGCUCGCGGCCUAUCAGCUUGAUGGUGAGGUAAUGGCUCACCAUGGCUUCGACGGGUAGCCGGCCUGAGAGGGUGACCGGUCACACUGGGACUGAGACACGGCCCAGACUCCUACGGGUGGCUG